Molecule: ribosomal RNA, 468 nt
Filed under: uncultured bacterium
Lineage: Bacteria
Description: partial 16S ribosomal RNA
Rfam family: Bacterial small subunit ribosomal RNA
Source: RNAcentral
GACGAACGCUGGCGGCGUGCUUAACACAUGCAAGUCGAACGGAAAGGCCCUGCUUUUGUGGGGUGCUCGAGUGGCGAACGGGUGAGUAACACGUGAGUAACCUGCCCUUGACUUUGGGAUAACUUCAGGAAACUGGGGCUAAUACCGGAUAGGAGCUCCUGCUGCAUGGUGGGGGUUGGAAAGUUUCGGCGGUUGGGUAUGGACUCGCGGCUUAUCAGCUUGUUGGUGGGGUAGUGGCUUACCAAGGCUUUGACGGGUAGCCGGCCUGAGAGGGUGACCGGCCACAUUGGGCCUGAGAUACGGCCCAGACUCCUACGGGAGGCAGCAGUGGGGAAUAUUGCACAAUGGGCGGAAGCCUGAUGCAGCAACGCCGCGUGCGGGAUGACGGCCUUCGGGUUGUAAACCGCUUUCGCCUGUGACGAAGCGUGAGUGACGGUAAUGGGUAAAGAAGCACCGGCUAACUACGUG